Molecule: non-coding RNA, 72 nt
Organism: Caenorhabditis elegans
Lineage: Eukaryota; Metazoa; Nematoda; Chromadorea; Rhabditida; Rhabditidae
Source: Ensembl
UCUCUCUCCCUCUCGUCUCAUGUCUCUUUUUCUCAUUUUGGCGCCGCGCCUUCUAUCAAUCAAGUUGAAUUG